GGGGACAUGGCGAAAUUGGUAGACGCGCAGGAUUUAGGUUCCUGUUGAGCAAUCAGUGGGGGUUCAAGUCCCCCUGUCCCCACCA
RNAcentral lists this transfer RNA (85 nucleotides) under Thioclava sp. F28-4. Its description in RNAcentral is "tRNA-Leu". It matches the Rfam family "tRNA". Rfam says of the family: Transfer RNA (tRNA) molecules are approximately 80 nucleotides in length. Lineage: Bacteria; Pseudomonadati; Pseudomonadota; Alphaproteobacteria; Rhodobacterales; Paracoccaceae. The record is from RNAcentral.